This 429-nucleotide ribosomal RNA is filed under the name Verrucomicrobiota bacterium. RNAcentral describes it as "Verrucomicrobia bacterium partial 16S ribosomal RNA". It matches the Rfam family "Bacterial small subunit ribosomal RNA", at positions 355 to 776 of the family's 1533-position model. The record is from RNAcentral. Lineage: Bacteria; Pseudomonadati; Verrucomicrobiota.
UAGGGAAUCUUCGGCAAUGGGGGGAACCCUGACCGAGCAACGCCGCGUGAGUGAAGAAGGUUUUCGGAUCGUAAAGCUCUGUUGUUAAGGAAGAACGAGUGUGAGAAUGGAAAGUUCAUGCUGUGACGGUACUUAACCAGAAAGGGACGGCUAACUACGUGCCAGCAGCCGCGGUAAUACGUAGGUCCCGAGCGUUGUCCGGAUUUAUUGGGCGUAAAGCGAGCGCAGGCGGUUAGAAAAGUCUGAAGUGAAAGGCAGUGGCUCAACCAUUGUAGGCUUUGGAAACUGUUUAACUAGAGUGAAGAAGGGGAGGGGGGAAUUCCAUGUGUAGCGGUGAAAUGCGUAGAUAUAUGGAGGAACACCGGUGGCGAAAGCGGCUCACUGGUCUGUAACUGACGCUGAGGCUCGAAAGCGUGGGGAGCGAACAGG